GCUUGCUUUCUUUGCUGGCGACCGGCGCACGGGUGAGUAACACGUAUCCAACCUACCCUUUACUCGGGGAUAGCCUUUCGAAAGAAAGAUUAAUACCCGAUAGCAUAAUGAUUCCGCAUGGUUUCAUUAUUAAAGGAUUCCGGUAAAGGAUGGGGAUGCGUUCCAUUAGGUUGUUGGUGGGGUAACGGCCCACCAAGCCUUCGAUGGAUAGGGGUCCUGAGAGGAAGGUCCCCCACAUUGGAACUGAGACACGGUCCAAACUCCUACGGGAGGCAGCAUG
RNAcentral lists this ribosomal RNA (280 nucleotides) under uncultured bacterium. Its description in RNAcentral is "partial 16S ribosomal RNA". It matches the Rfam family "Bacterial small subunit ribosomal RNA", at positions 78 to 353 of the family's 1533-position model. The record is from RNAcentral.